CAGAGAAGUAGUACUACUACUAUCCACCACUCACCUUCUCGCCUUCCCGUCCCCCGCCUCUCUUUCUGUUUCUUCCUUGCCUGCCCACUUCGUCGUUAUCAUCGUAUUCCACGCGCGCUCUCUUGCUCGCUCUUCAGUUUACUUUGCUACUGUUGUCCUUCUCUCUCCCACCGCAUCUGUCACGCCUGCGUGCGCGCGUCUGCUCGCGGGGCGUUCCAGUUGCGGGCGUGCUGUGUGUGUGUGUGUGUGUGUGUGUGUGUGUGCCUCUUCCACUCCACAUCUGCUUUUCGACCACCUCUCCUGCUCCUUCAGCGUGUCCUCGUCCUGCCCUGCGUAGCGUUACCAAAUCUUGCCCUUGCCCCCCCCCCCCCCUCCCCGUUCUAGCGCUCUUGCGGUACGCAAGCACGCGUACCGCAUCACCCACCCACCCCCUUCUCUUUCUCGCGCGCGUGCAGACGCACACGCACACGCACACGCACACGCACACACACAGUCAGUCACCCAUACGUGCGUGCACACAGCUGCACCGCCUUCCUCUCUCUCUCUCUUCGCGUUCCUACAUCCAUGCAGAAGCUUCGCGCCGACCUGACGAAGCACUUCGACUCGGAGAAUACCAACAUGACGGCGUACCGCGACUAUGACUUUGAGCGUCGCGUGAACGAUAUGCGGCGCCUGCAGCACGCCGUCGACCACUUCGACCACGCGGUAAGGCAGGGCAUGAUGGCAAUGAAGGAAAUCGCGAGCGCGUACGAGGCUGUCGGGCAGGCCUUCACGGAGCUGACCCUCACCAACAACAACCCCGUGCCCGGCCCAGGGGAGGCCGAAGAGCCGAACCCCUAUCCGACUGAAGCGGAUGUGCAGUACAUGUCGCAGCCAAACGCCGGCGCCGCGACGGCGGACUACGCCGCCUCCGUCGCGAGCACACGCAUGCCGGACGAAGCCAACUCGCAGGUGCGCCGCCUGGCAAAGACCUUCGCUGAGGAGGCGCGCCGCAUCAACGAGGGCGCGCCGUACCAGUCGUACAACGCCGGCAUUCACCGCGACGUCCAUAACCGCCUCCUCCCUGUUCUGGAGCACCUUAAGAGCAUCAACGAGUACCGCCACAAGCGCAUCGAGGCACUGGAGCGCUACAACAAGUACAAGGCCGAAGUAGAGAAGGUUGAGAAGCACUACACGAAGAAAGGAAAGCCGUUCUGCGACAGCAAGGACCACAAGAAAUACACCGAGAAGCGCGACGAGGCGUGGAAGGAGUACAUCAAGCGACGCGACAAGUUCAACAAAACCUUCGGUAUGCUGAUGGAGGUGAACGACCACGCCGCCGCGCAGAUCAUCCACCGCUACCUCGUGCUGAAUCACGAGUAUCUGCAGCAGCUCGUGGCCUCGAUGGACCGCGUGCUGCCAGCGAUGGCGGAGGUGUAUCCGCUCAACAACGAGUACAACAGCCUCCAGAACACGCUGAUCCUCGAGGCGGUCGCGAACGCAAAAAUGCCGUUCGCCGACCACUCCAAGACGCGUUCGAAGCAGGCCGAUCAUGCCAAGCGCGAUGGCGCCGGGGACGAGACACACGAGGAUGCUCAGGAGGCUAUGGACGCCCAUUACGAGGCCCAGCAGAGUACUCUCACUUCCAUGAGCUCGGACGGUGGAAGCAACAUCGCCUCCGGCUCACGGCUGGAGGAUUCGGUCAGCUACGACGCGCACGCGAAGCCAUCGACGGCAUUAGAGUCCAUGGAGCCGCCGCACGACCCGGUGCAGGGCCGCGCCCAACAUGCCGGGAGAACGAGGGUAGAUCGCGGCCUCACCAUGUCGGAGCCGCAGCAUAUUUAGACCCAAGGCAGAUACCUCGACAAUGGCGAAGCGCAGCCGCUCGGGGACGGUAGAGGUGCGGACAAAGGAAGGCUGCACCUACGUGGAGGGCGCGUGCGUGCGGGAGACCUUGAGUCGGCCGACAGAUUCGUUCCCUUUUCCCUCAGCCAUGCGCGCUCACCGACACCCCGCGCUCCUGCGUCGCUGCUGCGCCGCCCAACUGGGCCCAUCGUGGUAGCCGUCUCCUUCUCUCUCCCCUCCCCCUUUUCCGUUGUUCGUCGAGCCGUUCGAGUAGCAGUGCACACGCACUCAGCCCGGACUCACAUGCUUCCGCAGCAGCCACUCCCGUUCACGCGUCGGCGCGCGCCCUUUCCAUAACGUUCUGCUGUCUUCGCUUACUCAUCCACGUCUGCCCUCCGCUCACGCCCCCCUAACCCCUCCCCCCUCGCACACCCACGCACGCCCCACGCACGUGAAAAGACGCACAUGCAUAUACAGGCGUGGCACAUUUUCGCUCGUUGCGUUUUCGCAGGCUCGUGUGGAUCUCUGCCCUUCACUCUCUUGUCCUGCGGCGGUGUCUUGUACGCUUUCUCUUUCUUUUCCCUCCCUCCUUCCUUCUUCUUUUAUGCGUCACCCCGAUUUCCUCUUCAUGCUUCUCUCGUUGGCUGCUUCGCUGGUUCCGCCGCCCCCCUCUCCCCUCCCCCUCUUGUUGCUUUCCUAUUUUGCCUCACGCGCACGUGUGUGUUUCCCUCUUCUUCGUCUGUCGCUCGCUCUGUCUCGCCCCCACUCCCGCUCGCCCUGCAUGUGUCAUGCACGACGAGGGCAUCAUUCGCAUCAGGGGUGCGAAGAGAGGGAGAGACAGGGAUGGCAGUGCGCCUCGUAUCGCUGGUGUGCUGUCGCGCUUUCUUGGGAUUCGAUGCGGCAUGGUUGCUUGUCUUUGUGUAGGUUCGAUUCGAGUGCUUGUCCCUCCGCCUACUCCGUAAUGUAAGUUCUAAUCAUAGUAAGGGUGCUGACUGAACGCACAGUGAGGAGCAAGAU
Molecule: unclassified non-coding RNA, 2841 nt
Filed under: Leishmania donovani
Lineage: Eukaryota; Euglenozoa; Kinetoplastea; Trypanosomatida; Trypanosomatidae
Description: gene:LdHU3.08.1150(CDS-product:hypothetical_prote in_conserved)
Source: RNAcentral